CCUACGGGAGGCAGCAGUGAGGAAUAUUGGUCAAUGGGCGCUAGCCUGAACCAGCCAAGUCGCGUGAGGGAAGACGGUCCUAUGGAUUGUAAACCUCUUUUGUCGGGGAGCAAAAGACGCCACGCAUGCCGUUCCGAGAGUACCCGAAGAACAAGCAUCGGCUAACUCCGUGCCAGCAGCCGCGGUAAUAUGGAGGAUGCGAGCGUUAUCCGGAUUUAUUGGGUUUAAAGGGUGCGCAGGCGGAAGAUUAAGUCAGCGGUAAAAUUGAGAGGCUCAACCUCUUCGAGCCGUUGAAACUGGUUUGCUUGAGUGAGCGAGAAGUAUGCGGAAUGCGUGGUGUAGCGGUGAAAUGCAUAGAUAUCACGCAGAACUCCGAUUGCGAAGGCAGCAUACCGGCGCUCAACUGACGCUCAUGCACGAAAGUGUGGGUAUCGAACAGGAUUAGAUACCCGAGUAGUC
RNAcentral lists this ribosomal RNA (459 nucleotides) under uncultured bacterium. Its description in RNAcentral is "partial 16S ribosomal RNA". It matches the Rfam family "Bacterial small subunit ribosomal RNA", at positions 338 to 795 of the family's 1533-position model. The record is from RNAcentral.